GACGACGCUGGCGGCGUGGAUUAGGCAUGCAAGUCGAACGGUAGGAUCCUUUCGGGGAUCUGAGAGUGGCGAACGGGUGAGUAACACGUAGGUGAUCUACCUCAAGACGGGGACAACCCAGGGAAACUUGGGCUAAUACCGGGAUGUGAGCUAUCGCGAGAUAGUUUGAAAGGUGGCUUCGGCUGCCGCUUGAGGAUGAGCCUGCGUCCUAUUAGCUAGUUGGUGAGGUAACGGCUCACCGAGGCAGUGAUAGGUAGGCGGCCUUAACGGGUGGUCGCCCACACUGGGAUUGAGAUACGGCCCAGACUCCUACGGGAGGCAGCAGUCGAGAAUAGUCUACAAUGGUCGAAAGACUGAUAGUGCGACGCCGCGUGAACGAAGAAGCCCUUCGGGGUGUAAAGUUCUUUUAUAUGUGAGCAGUGACACCCAUAUUAAUAGUAUGGGUGUAGAGAUAUUAGCAUAUGAAUAAGCAACGGCUAACUCCGUG
This 487-nucleotide ribosomal RNA is filed under the name uncultured bacterium. Its description in RNAcentral is "bacterial SSU rRNA". It matches the Rfam family "Bacterial small subunit ribosomal RNA", at positions 33 to 507 of the family's 1533-position model. The record is from RNAcentral.